This 1833-nucleotide ribosomal RNA is filed under the name Aplidium glabrum. RNAcentral's name for it is "SSU rRNA". It matches the Rfam family "Eukaryotic small subunit ribosomal RNA". The record is from RNAcentral. Lineage: Eukaryota; Metazoa; Chordata; Ascidiacea; Aplousobranchia; Polyclinidae.
CCAGUAGUCGUAUGCUUGUCUCAAAGGUUAAGCCAUGCAAGUCUAAGUACGAGCUCUCGUACAGCGAAACUGCGAAUGGCUCAUUAAAUCAGCUAUGGUUCAUUUGGUCGUCUCGAGGGUAGUCUCCCGCAGUUGUGGAUAACUGUGGCAAUUCUAGAGCUAAUACAUGCAAGCAAGUGCCGACGGCACCGAGCGAUCGGGGCCAGACGUGCGCAUUUAUCAGACCUCGCCGGCCCGCGGCGCGCACGGUCAAACGGGCGCGCCCGGUCCUCCGUGGUGACUCUGGAUAACUGAGCGGAUCGCGCUUCCCACGGCGGAAGGCGACAGAUCAUUCGAGUGUCUGCCCUAUCAACUGGUCGGUACGGUCUCGGCCUACCGCGGUGGUAACGGGUGACGGGGAAUCAGGGUUCGAUUCCGGAGAGGGAGCCUGAGAAACGGCUACUACUUCCAAGGAAGGCAGCAGGCGCGCAAAUUACCCAUUCCCGAUUCGGGGAGGUAGUGACGAAAAAUAACGAUGCGGGACUCUGAACGAGCGCCCGCAAUCGGAAUGAGCAUAAUGCAAAGCAAUGGUCUCCCCGGCCCUCGCGGGCCGGGCGUGCGAGUAUCGAUUGGAGGGCAAGUCUGGUGCCAGCAGCCGCGGUAAUUCCAGCUCCAAAAGUGUACACUUAAGUUGUUGCGGUUGAAAAGCUCGUAGUUGGAAAUGCAGGACGGCGGCGUUGCGGACGUCCGCCCGCAAGGGCGCGACGGCCGCGCGCCGAGCCGGUCCCACGAGAGGCUUCGGGCCGGUCGGGCUUCCCUUCACCGGGCGGCCUGGCCACCAAUGCCCGAGAGCCGGUUUUACUUUGAAAAAAUUAGAGUGUUCAAAGCAGGCCUUCGAGGCCCGGAUAGCGUUGCACGGAAUAGCGGAAGAGGGCCUCCUCCCUGACCGCUGGCGACUCGACAAGAGAGAGGCAAUGAUCGAGAGGGACGGACGGGGGCAUUCGUACCGCGCCGUUAGAGGUGAAAUUCUUGGAUCGGCGCGAGAGACUGUAAACGAUGCCGGCUCCGGGCCGACGCCCGCCGUCAAACUAAACGAGGCGGCGCCGGACCGGUCGAGGGAAACCAGAGCUUCUGGGUUCCGGGGGAAGUAUGGUCGCAAAGCUGAAACUUAAAGGAAUUGACGGAAGGGCACCACCAGGAGUGGAGCCUGCGGCUUAAUUUGACUCAACACGGGGAAACUCACCCGGCCCGGACACGGCAAGGAUUGACAGAUUGAGAGCUCUUUCUCGAUUACGUGGGUGGUGGUGCAUGGCCGUUCUUAGUUGGUGGAACGAUUUGUCUGGUUAAUUCCGAUAACGAACGAGACUCUUGCCUGCUUAAUAGAGGCGAUUCGAACGAGGGGGCCGCUUCGAGGUCGGGGCGGGAAACCGUUCGCGGCCAGGGUCGGCCCCCUGAACAAGGCUCUUCUUAGAGGGACGAGCGGCGGUCUUCAGCCGCACGAGAUUGAGCAAUAACAGGUCUGUGAUGCCCUUAGAUGUUCGGGGCCGCACGCGCGCUACACUGGUCGGCACAGCCGGUGCAGCGCUCUCGAGUCUAACGCACGAGGGGAUCCCGGGUCGAGAGGCCCGGGAAAUCCGGCAAACCCGACCGUGAUCGGGACAGAGAAUUGCAAUUGUUUCUCUCGAACGAGGAAUUCCCAGUAGGCGCGAGUCAUCAGCUCGCGUCGAUUACGUCCCUGCCCUUUGUACACACCGCCCGUCGCUACUACCGAUCGAGCGUUUUAGUGAGGUCCUCCAAUCGGCUUCGGCGCGUCGGCCUCGCGCCGGCCGCCGUUCGCCGAGAAGACGAUCGAAC